CGAGCACGCGCGUGUGGCAUAUCAAUAAGCGGAGGAAAAGAAACUAACAAGGAUUCCCCUAGUAACGGCGAGUGAAGCGGGAAGAGCUCAAAUUUGAAAUCUUAAAGGGUUUCCCUUUACGAAUUGUAGUUUAAAGAAGUGUUUUCUGUUGGAGUUUCGGUAAAAGUUCUUUGGAAUAGGACAUCAUAGAGGGUGAGAAUCCCGUAUUUGACCAUUAUUUCCAACUUUGUGAUACACUUUCAAAGAGUCGGAUUGUUUGGGAAUGCAGUCCAAAAUGGGUGGUAAAUUUCAUCUAAAGCUAAAUACUGGCGAGAGACCGAUAGCGAACAAGUACCGUGAGGGAAAGAUGAAAAGAACUUUGAAAAGAGAGUUAAACAGUACGUGAAAUUGUCAAAAGGGAAGCGUUUGACACCAGUGUUGUUUUCUCGAAAAUCAAUUAAAAAUGACCGGAUUUUGUGUUGUAUUGACUUUAUCAGCUUUCUGCACUUUUUUCUUGUCUUUUUUAAUGCACUUUUCGUUUAACAAGUCAACAUCAAUUUCUUUUGUUGUAAAAAGGGCCAUUGGAAGGUGGCUUUCAUUUCGGAGAAAGUGUUUAUAGCCUUUGACUCCUGCAAUCGGAGAGACUGAGGUCUGCAGCGUAGAUCCUUCUGGAUUAGAUUCAUUUGUGCUAAGUUAUAGCCUUUCAUAGACAACUUGUUGACUAUGAUCAGUCAUGUAGCUUACUCGCUUAUGUCAUUUUACCUACGCUUAGGAUGUUGAGUCAUCACACAUCUCU
RNAcentral lists this ribosomal RNA (775 nucleotides) under uncultured Neocallimastigales. Its description in RNAcentral is "partial large subunit ribosomal RNA". It matches the Rfam family "Eukaryotic large subunit ribosomal RNA", at positions 19 to 618 of the family's 3401-position model. Lineage: Eukaryota; Fungi; Neocallimastigomycota; Neocallimastigomycetes; Neocallimastigales. The record is from RNAcentral.